CAAGGAGGAGGAGUACGCC
RNAcentral lists this unclassified non-coding RNA (19 nucleotides) under Chlamydomonas reinhardtii. Its description in RNAcentral is "small RNA Cre_0852". Lineage: Eukaryota; Viridiplantae; Chlorophyta; Chlorophyceae; Chlamydomonadales; Chlamydomonadaceae. The record is from RNAcentral.